This 403-nucleotide ribosomal RNA is filed under the name bacterium. RNAcentral describes it as "partial 16S ribosomal RNA". It matches the Rfam family "Bacterial small subunit ribosomal RNA", at positions 355 to 776 of the family's 1533-position model. The record is from RNAcentral.
UGGGGAAUAUUGCACAAUGGAGGGAACUCUGAUGCAGCGACGCCGCGUGAACGAAGAAGGCUUUCGAGUCGUAAAGUUCUUUUAUAUGGGAAGAUAAUGACGGUACCAUAAGAAGAAGCCCCGGCUAACUACGUGCCAGCAGCCGCGGUAAUACGUAGGGGGCUAGCGUUGUCCGGAAUCACUGGGCGUAAAGGGUUCGCAGGCGGAAAUGAAAGUCAGGUGUAAAAGGCAGUAGCUUAACUACUGUAAGCAUUUGAAACUGCAUAUCUUGAGAAGAGUAGAGGUAAGUGGAAUUUUUAGUGUAGCGGUGAAAUGCGUAGAUAUUAAAAAGAAUACCGGUGGCGAAGGCGACUUACUGGGCUCAUUCUGACGCUGAGGAACGAAAGCGUGGGUAGCAAACAGG